CCCUUAGAUGUUCUGGGCUGCACGCGUGCUACACUGAUGCAUUCAGCAAGUAUACUUCCUUUGCCGAGAGGCCUGGGCAAUCUUGUAAACAUGCAUCGUGAUAGGGAUAGAUUUUUGCAAUUAUUAAUCUUUAACGAGGAAUUCCUAGUAAACGCAGAUCAUCAAUCUGCAUUGAUUACGUCCCUGCCCUUUGUACACACCGCCCGUCGCUCCUACCGAUUGAAUGGUCCGGUGAAGCGUUCGGACCGUGGCCUUUGGACGGUUCGCCGUCUGUUGGCUGCGGGAAGUUCGUUAAACCUUAUCAUUUAGAGGAAGGAGAAGUCGUAACA
This 329-nucleotide ribosomal RNA is filed under the name uncultured eukaryote. RNAcentral describes it as "partial 18S ribosomal RNA". It matches the Rfam family "Eukaryotic small subunit ribosomal RNA", at positions 1470 to 1796 of the family's 1831-position model. The record is from RNAcentral.